Long non-coding RNA from Tympanuchus pallidicinctus (lesser prairie-chicken), 3609 nucleotides. RefSeq lists it as uncharacterized. Lineage: Eukaryota; Metazoa; Chordata; Aves; Galliformes; Phasianidae. The record is from RefSeq and is a predicted model, not a curated record. The transcript is spliced from 20 exons.
CAAAUACUCCUGGCUCAAUGCUAUAUAAAACUCAUGGUCUAUGAAGAAAAAGGUGAUUUGCAUUCAUUAUACAAAGCGAGAAAAGGAGGAGCAAGAAGGUGUAUGUGUAUGCAAAGGGAAAAGUGCAGGGCAUUAUUGUUUCAUGUCUGGAUGGAGACAAGAUCCUAUAUGAGUCCUAAGAUCAAGGAAGCCAGACUAGUUUUGAGAAUAUUCUUUACUCCUCCCCUCAGCUUCAUGAAGCAGUGAUACAUGAAGACAGCAGACUUGUUGAAGUGCAGAGAACAGGACUCUAUGGUACACUUGAGGCUUUAUUGAUCUUUACACUUGACCUCGAAGCAUAACAGGAAACUAUAAGGAAGAACAUUAAAAAGGAGAAAUGAAAAAUUUUAAAUUGAACAGGCAUCGAAUGUCUUAGCCUGUGAGACUUGAGCCUACAAAAAUAAAAUUGUAUGAUGGUAAGACUUUGGCUGGCAACCAAUCUAGAGAGCAUGGAGCGGGUAAGAAACAAUCCAGAACUCCUGCAGAUAAGAGGAGAUUGCUAAUUCAUCCUGUGUGCAUCAACAGAUGCACUGACUUGAAUAAUUAUUAAUUCCUUAAAUGUAUCAGCUGCAAUCUACGUAUAAAAGAUACUGAAACAGAAGCCUUAUCUAACACGCUGAGUGACCCUGGCUCUGAAGACACAGUUUCUCAUUGAUUUAUAUGCUUUCAUAUGAGGCAUCAGGAAAAAAGAAGCCAAUCCUCAAGGCAAUAUAGUGGAAUCAUAGAAACCGUUUAUUCAUACUUAUUUCUGAAAGGACAAGUAAUACAAAAUACGUACAGUUACAAGAGGUGUUUGAGAAAAUGGCAUGGAAUGUCUGAAGAGACAGCCAGUGGCAUCACGGCAAGGGGCAACUUCCAGCUGUGAUGUUCUUUCUUCCUGAUCCACUCAGCAGCUCCUGAAGGAAUGAGGUGAAAAUCAACAUUGCUGUCAUGAUGCUGAGUAUCACCAGCCACAACAAAUGUGUAUUCAAUGAUGAGCUAAUCCUAGGGAACAGAAAGGAUUGAUUCAAUUUUAUUUCCAGGGACUGACAACUUUCCAGAUACCUGGUUCUCAGAAGAGAGAAAAGAACUACACCCAAUGGACUUCAUGUUCAAAGAGGAAGAUAAGCCACGGGAGGAAGUCACGGAAUCUCUCUCUCUUGCUCCUUCAGUUCAAAUGCAGUCUUUCCAGAAUGUCUUCUGAGAUAGUACAUCUGACUCUUACAGGUGGUUUGAUGCAGUUAUCAACAUGCUCUUGAACACUGAAAUCUAUUUUGUAACUACUGUUGAAAUACUAUUUAACCACACGCAGAAAAAAGGUGACCUCUGGAAAAUGUGCCUUGGGAAAUGAAGGUCUUAAACUGACUUUUAUGGUAAAAACGGAGAUCAGAAGUUCCCAAGCAUUUCCAGGAUACCAGUGCAUAUGUUUUUAUUGUGACUGGUAUACAUGAUGGAAAGAACACUCUUUACCCAUCACCUUUGAUGUGAGCUUUAACAAGGAAGGUGACUUCCAAGUCUAUGUAUGGAUUCUACUUCAAGUACUCAGAACAGAGCCUGAAAUUUGUCUCUCCCUCUGGCCCACGUUCUAUGGAAUAUCUUUUUCAAUGUCUUGUUCGCUGACUUUAGGGGUUGCUUCCCAAUUGUAGUCUUUGAUUUUUGUAUUUUUGACACUCUUAUUUUAUUAAUUUAAUUUUGGAGGUCUAGAUUUUGUCAAGAGGAACAAGAAAGUAAAAUUAGAUAAUUCAGCGCCGUGCUAUUUAAAUCCAUCUUAGGUGUGGAUUUAAGAUCUGUCUCAAAUAUUAAGGGUUUCCAUAAUAAUGAAUUCUUCAGGAAUAUUCAGAACUGGGGGGAAAAAAAAAGAAAAAAACAAAGGAAAUGUAUAUGCAGCCCAGAUUUCUCUACCUCACUCAGCAACAGAAAUCAGAGCAAACUAUUACAGUGUAAGCAAAGUAUUUAGUUCAAAAUGGACCUAGAAAUUUGAAGUAAAAGCGAAUUGCAUAUUUCAGGCUUCUGUACUUUAAGAGAUUAGUUACAGGUGUUUUCAUGUAAUUACUUCAUUCCUCUUUAAUAUUUUAUGAUGUAAGUGACCUUGAGAAAUACAUCUUUUUUUUAAUGUAACAAUAGUACGUAUUUUAAAGAUGCUGCAAAAAUUUUAUUUCCCAUCUGUUUAUUUCUAUACUUUUGGACUGAGAAGCAAAGCUGCUGAGCAUGAUGAAUACUCACACAAACCAGAAAUGCAGCGACCAGGACUGUCCACAGUACUCAAGAUAUGUGUGGAGGAGCCUACUUAGCAUCCCUUGAUGCCUGAAGUCUGAAAAGGAUAAUUGUGGAAAAUGCAGCUUUAUUAUGAAGGUGAUGGAAAGUACCACAGUAAUAGCGGGGGCAGCAAAGUGUUUGGCUGCAGCAAAUGAGGACACAGAAAUGAAGGAAAGGAGCUGCUUACCUUUGGAAGGCCUCAGCUUUUAAUACAAGCCAUUCUGAGGAUGUAGACAUGUGGUUUGGGUUUCAGAGAUGACUGUCCACAGAGCUCCCCUCUACCUUUUCUCAGACCGUGAUGUUGCACAGUCAGGUAGCGGAUAAGCAGAAGAAGCAGCAGCAAAGAGCUCCUUCAGCAACUCACAUGUAAAAAAGCUGCCAUAAAAAUGGGGCUAUCAAGCUUACCAGUGUUUUAUUUAGGACAUCUGUAUGGGAACUGCUGAGUCACGGCCUGAACCUCUGAUCACCUGAGGCGAACCACGAGUCAGCCAGAGGAGCACAGGUGACCAGGUGGUUUGAGAAACUCCACAGUUUGGAAAGGCAAAAGACUCCAAAGGCAAGUACCCUCAAACACCCCAACACUUCAAAUUGGAAAACAGCAGAUUCAGAAAUGCAUCCUGAGAAAAAUAACAUACUCCAUUACAGCAAGAAAUCCUCUAAAAAGCUCAUCACAGGAAUUGUGAUUUUCAGGAAGAGGAUCAGAAAUAUGCUUAUUCAAGAUGACAGUGUGAACAAGACCUUCUAGAAAUGAAAGUUUUGUGAGAGCUACAGAAACAGCUUCAUCAAAAACUACUACAAGAUUGAGGAACAUUGCAUUGCAUGUGGGACAAAAUCUUGCAUCAACUGCUAGUGACAACCCUUCAUCAGAGCUCUUUCUAGUGUAGUUAUGUUGUUUGCUAAUUUUUUUUUAAUCUGUUAUCUCUUGAAUAAGUGAAAACUUCUACACGAUACAGAAAAGUAAGAAUUGGGGUGGAAAAUAACAUUCCCAAGAUCACCGCUACCUGAAAAUGAAUUUAUGUGUUUUUCCAGUUAACCUUACAGGCAGCUCAGCACCAUAUCAUUGUUCAGUCACUCCUCCCACCCAGUGAGAUGGUGAAGAGAAUCAGGAGAAAAAUCAGAUAGAACACAUGGGUUGGGAUAAAAUACUAUUUACUAAGACAAAAAAAAAAAAAAAAAAGUAAAAUAGUAAUAUUAAUGAUAGCAAUACAUAUUUAUAAAACAAAUAACACACAACAGAAUUGCUCACCAAUUGCCAACUGAUGGGCGGUCAGUCUAUGAGCAGUACUUGCCCCUUAGCCAGCUUCCCACUGUGGAUUUUAUUGUUUUUUUUUUUUU